Paramuricea clavata is the source of this 72-nucleotide non-coding RNA. The record is from the annotation of a GenBank genome assembly. NCBI's taxonomy places the organism in Eukaryota, Metazoa, Cnidaria, Anthozoa, Malacalcyonacea, Plexauridae.
GGUUUCGUAGUGUAGCGGUCAAUACGUGCGCCUAACACGCGCAAGGCUUCAGUUCGAUCCUGGGCGGAAACA